Long non-coding RNA from Polistes canadensis, 436 nucleotides. RefSeq lists it as uncharacterized. The transcript is spliced from 2 exons. Lineage: Eukaryota; Metazoa; Arthropoda; Insecta; Hymenoptera; Vespidae. The record is from RefSeq and is a predicted model, not a curated record.
AAGAAGAAAUUUUACUGAUUAACAACGACGACGAUGACGAUGACGACGACGACGAGACAGUAGAGGCCUUCGUUCUCUUUGCGUGUUCGCCACUAUUUUUGUAGUAGAGGUCGAGAUACGAAAGGAAAACGAACGGGUGUCGCGUGGUUCGUGAAAUUUUUACAUCCAGUACGGCUCGGGGCUUCAGUCGGAUCGAGCUCAGGAGGCCUCUUCUUCUGAAACGUCGUCUUUUUACUACUAUUCAUCAUCAUCAUCAUCAUCACCUUCAGUUAAGUUUAUAAUCAUAUACUCGUCGUCCCCGUCUCUCUCUCGUUUUGUUAUUAAUAAAAAAAGAAAAAUUUGCAAGAAGAUACAAUAAAAACCAUUCGACGACGGGAAUAAAAUAAACUUCUAUUUUUAAACAAAUAAAUAUAAGAAAAAAAAGAAACAAGAAAAA